GAUAAACGCUGGCGGCGCACAUAAGACAUGCAAGUCGAACGGAAGUCGUUAUAAAAUGGAUUGAAGAUUUAUCAGAUAGAAGUUUUGUAACAAUGGCUUUAGUGGCGGACUGGUGAGUAACACGUAAGCAAUCUACCUAUUAGAGGGGAAUAACAAUGAGAAAUCAUUGCUAAUACCGCAUAAGCUUGUAGUACCGCAUGGUACAGCAAGAAAAGGAGCAAUCCGCUAAUAGAUGAGCUUGCGGCUGAUUAGCUAGUUGGUGGGGUAACGGCCUACCAAGGCAACGAUCAGUAGCCGACCUGAGAGGGUGACCGGCCACAUUGGGACUGAGACACGGCCCAAACUCCUACGGGAGGCAGCAGUGGGGAAUAUUGCACAAUGGGCGAAAGCCUGAUGCAGCGACGCCGCGUGAGCGAAGAAGUAUUUCGGUAUGUAAAGCUCUAUCAGCAGGGAAGAAGAAAUGACGGUACCUGACUAAGAAGCACCGGCUAACUCUGUGCCAGCAGCCGCGGUAAUACAGAGGGUGCGAGCGUUAAUCGGAUUUACUGGGCGUAAAGCGUACGUAGGCGGCUUUUUAAGUCGGAUGUGAAAUCCCUGAGCUUAACUUAGGAAUUGCAUUCGAUACUGGGAAGCUAGAGUAUGGGAGAGGAUGGUAGAAUUCCAGGUGUAGCGGUGAAAUGCGUAGAGAUCUGGAGGAAUACCGAUGGCGAAGGCAGCCAUCUGGCCUAAUACUGACGCUGAGGUACGAAAGCAUGGGGAGCAAACAGGAUUAGAUACCCUGGUAGUCCAUGCCGUAAACGAUGUCUACUAGCCGUUGGGGCCUUUGAGGCUUUAGUGGCGCAGCUAACGCGAUAAGUAGACCGCCUGGGGAGUACGGUCGCAAGACUAAAACUCAAAUGAAUUGACGGGGGCCCGCACAAGCGGUGGAGCAUGUGGUUUAAUUCGAUGCAACGCGAAGAACCUUACCUGGUCUUGACAUACAGAGAACUUUCCAGAGAUGGAUUGGUGCCUUCGGGAACUCUGAUACAGGUGCUGCAUGGCUGUCGUCAGCUCGUGUCGUGAGAUGUUGGGUUAAGUCCCGCAACGAGCGCAACCCUUUUCCUUAUUUGCCAGCACUUCGGGUGGGAACUUUAAGGAUACUGCCAGUGACAAACUGGAGGAAGGCGGGGACGACGUCAAGUCAUCAUGGCCCUUACGACCAGGGCUACACACGUGCUACAAUGGUCGGUACAAAGGGUUGCUACCUCGCGAGAGGAUGCUAAUCUCAAAAAGCCGAUCGUAGUCCGGAUUGGAGUCUGCAACUCGACUCCAUGAAGUCGGAAUCGCUAGUAAUCGCGGAUCAGAAUGCCGCGGUGAAUACGUUCCCGGGCCUUGUACACACCGCCCGUCACACCAUGGGAGUUUGUUGCACCAGAAGUAGGUAGUCUAACCGUAAGGAGGACGCUUACCACGGUGUGGCCAAUGACUGGGGUG
Molecule: ribosomal RNA, 1473 nt
Filed under: uncultured bacterium
Lineage: Bacteria
Description: bacterial SSU rRNA
Rfam family: Bacterial small subunit ribosomal RNA
Source: RNAcentral